CUCUUAACCAUUCAACUGCGCAUAAUAUAAUACCUUACUUUGUGGAUUGGAAGACUGACAGCCAUGUAACUGCACACAUUUACAUUAAGCUUUGAAUAAGGAUCCGAGCAGCGGACUACACUACUCACAACCACAAGGGCCGGCAGAGAGACAGAGAAACACAGGUGAGCUUGUCUUCACAUCAGAGAUCAACCACCGGUUUAAACCACUGUAGGUGAGCUUCUCUUCACAUCAGAGAUCAACCACCGGUUUAAACCACUGUAGGUGAGCUUCUCUUCACAUCAGAGAUCAACCACCGGUUUAAACCACUGUAGGUGAGCUUCUCUUCACAUCAGAGAUCAA
This 342-nucleotide long non-coding RNA is filed under the name Oncorhynchus kisutch (coho salmon). RNAcentral describes it as "lncRNA (ENSOKIG00005016044.1)". The record is from RNAcentral. Lineage: Eukaryota; Metazoa; Chordata; Actinopteri; Salmoniformes; Salmonidae.